This 280-nucleotide ribosomal RNA is filed under the name uncultured Pseudomonas sp. Its description in RNAcentral is "partial 16S ribosomal RNA". It matches the Rfam family "Bacterial small subunit ribosomal RNA", at positions 1107 to 1382 of the family's 1533-position model. Lineage: Bacteria; Pseudomonadati; Pseudomonadota; Gammaproteobacteria; Pseudomonadales; Pseudomonadaceae. The record is from RNAcentral.
GUCCUUAGUUACCAGCACGUUAUGGUGGGCACUCUAAGGAGACUGCCGGUGAACAAACCGGAGGAAGGGUGGGGAUGACGUCAAGUCAUCAUCGGCCCUUACGGCCGUGGGCUACACACGUGCUACAAUGGUCGGUACAAAGGGUUGCCAAGCCGCGAGGUGGAGCUAAUCCCAUAAAACCGAUCGUAGUCCGGAUCGCAGUCUGCAACUCGACUGCGUGAAGUCGGAAUCGCUAGUAAUCGUGAAUCAGAAUGUCACGGUGAAUACGUUCCCGGGCCUU